GGGAUUGUAGCUCAGUGGUAGAGUGCUUGCCUACCAUGCGUGAGACACUGUUCAAUCCCU
This 60-nucleotide transfer RNA is filed under the name Ictidomys tridecemlineatus (thirteen-lined ground squirrel). RNAcentral's name for it is "Spermophilus tridecemlineatus (thirteen-lined ground squirrel) tRNA". It matches the Rfam family "tRNA". From Rfam's summary of the family: Transfer RNA (tRNA) molecules are approximately 80 nucleotides in length. Their secondary structure includes four short double-helical elements and three loops (D, anti-codon, and T loops). Lineage: Eukaryota; Metazoa; Chordata; Mammalia; Rodentia; Sciuridae. The record is from Rfam by way of RNAcentral.